GAUGAACGCUGGCGGCGUGCCUAAUACAUGCAAGUCGAGCGAACGGACGAGAAGCUUGCUUUUCUGAUGUUAGCGGCGGACGGGUGAGUAACACGUGGAUAACCUACCUAUAAGACUGGGAUAACUUCGGGAAACCGGAGCUAAUACCGGAUAAUAUUUUGAACCGCAUGGUUCAAAAGUGAAAGACGGUCUUGCUGUCACUUAUAGAUGGAUCCGCGCUGCAUUAGCUAGUUGGUAAGGUAACGGCUUACCAAGGCAACGAUGCAUAGCCGACCUGAGAGGGUGAGCGGCCAGACGGGAACUGAGACACGGUCCAGACUCAUACGGGAGGCAGCAGUAGGGAAUCUUCCGCAAAGGGCGAAAGCCUGACGGAGCAACGCAGCGUGAGUGAUGAAGGUCUUCGGAUCGUAAAACUCUGUUAUUAGGGAAUAACAUAUGUGUAAGUAACUGUGCACAUCUUGACGGUGCCUAAUCAGAAAGCCACGGCUAACUACGUG
Molecule: ribosomal RNA, 497 nt
Filed under: uncultured bacterium
Lineage: Bacteria
Description: partial 16S ribosomal RNA
Rfam family: Bacterial small subunit ribosomal RNA
Source: RNAcentral